AUGUCGGAGCCGUGGCAACGUUCUCCGUGCAUCCCCGCUUGGGCGUCAUUUUAGACAUAUAUUCACAGACACGUGUACAUCUUUAUGCCCACACAGAAGGGUAACAGCAGCCUUGCUUCAGAGGCCACACCUUCCAGGAAACCCUUCAGCCUGCCGUGUCUUAGCUGAUCCCUCUGCCAUCCCCUUGCAGAAGGAGCUUGGAGUCUCUCAGCUCAGCUGGACUAGAUGAAUCUUCUCAGGGUCGUCUUCUCCCACCUCUGGCUCCCAGUUCCUUCCCCCAGUCUCUCCCUCCCUGCUCUGUGUGAUCAGGGAAGCUGCAAACCCAACCCUUACAUCAAAAGGGAACUUGAAAAAUACUUGGAGCAAAAACUGCUAACUGUGCAUCCUUGCUGUAUGCUGGCGCUGAUAUUAAAUCAGGAAAUGGCACUGAACAGCCGCUCCGAACACAGAAACAGGGGUUGUCAACACAGCAACCAAAAGCAAUCUCUAACGGGCAGAGGUGAAAGGGACCUGGCACAGGGCCAGGAGGGGGGCUGCAACCCAGGAAAGAAUUCCUGAGCUGAGUGUGUCUGUGCCACCUCUCCAGUGUCCAGAAUGAAGCCUGGAUCUCAGUCCCUGGCAUGGAAUGCACCUUGUCUCUCUCCAUGAGGGAUGAAAGAUAAUUAGAUAAUUAAGCAUGUUGCUUAAAUACCUUUGAAAUUCUCCUUUUUAUUUCCAUACAUGUUUACCGAGCACCCACUAUGUGCC
Molecule: long non-coding RNA, 747 nt
Filed under: Homo sapiens (human)
Lineage: Eukaryota; Metazoa; Chordata; Mammalia; Primates; Hominidae
Description: non-protein coding lnc-MAFB-1:2
Source: RNAcentral